GUACUUACCACGCCAGUACAUGUACUAAAAUCGGAACGACACAGAGAAGAUCAGCUUGGCCCCUACGCAAGGAUGAUAUAGUUA
RNAcentral lists this small nuclear RNA (84 nucleotides) under Bombyx mori (domestic silkworm). The record is from RNAcentral. Lineage: Eukaryota; Metazoa; Arthropoda; Insecta; Lepidoptera; Bombycidae.